CUUUCAUUCACACAUGCAAGUAUUUUACACAUAGCGAGUUUGUGUGCCAUUUGUCGUCAAAUGACUAAAACCAUUGGCAUUUUCUGUUUCAUGUUUACUGAACCUAACAAAAGAAAUAUGAAAUGAUCUUCGUAAUAAUUGAAAACCAUAAUUAUUUGAUCCAUCAUUUCACGUCAUUGUCCAAGUUUUUUCAGGCACAAAUUAUUUAUGGAUAGG
RNAcentral lists this unclassified non-coding RNA (216 nucleotides) under Hevea brasiliensis (rubber tree). The record is from RNAcentral. Lineage: Eukaryota; Viridiplantae; Streptophyta; Magnoliopsida; Malpighiales; Euphorbiaceae.